AACUUCCCACAUUCCUUCCCCUUGGAUCCAAACAUUAGUCUGAGUGGGUCAAAAAGGGAGGGCAGGUCAAACUGAAGUGAACUUGGAUUCUUUAGUAACAUACAAGUUCAUUUCAAAUAUAU
Molecule: small nucleolar RNA, 122 nt
Filed under: Echinops telfairi (small Madagascar hedgehog)
Lineage: Eukaryota; Metazoa; Chordata; Mammalia; Afrosoricida; Tenrecidae
Description: Small nucleolar RNA SNORA61 (ENSETEG00000024921.1)
Source: RNAcentral